GGGGGGGGGGGGGGGGGGGGGGGGGGGGGGGGGGGGGGGGGGGGCCUGCGGGGCUGGGGGCGCACGGGUGCGUAACGCGUGGGAACCUGCCCUUAGGGUCGGAAUAACUCCCCGAAAGGGGUGCUAAUACCGGAUAAUGUCUUCGGACCAAAGAUUUAUCGCCUUUGGAUGGGCCCGCGUUGGAUUAGCUAGUUGGUAGGGUAAAAGCCUACCAAGGCGACGAUCCAUAGCUGGUCUGAGAGGAUGAUCAGCCACACUGGGACUGAGACACGGCCCAGACUCCUACGGGAGGCAGCAGUGGGGAAUAUUGGACAAUGGGCGAAAGCCUGAUCCAGCAAUGCCGCGUGAGUGAUGAAGGCCUUAGGGUUGUAAAGCUCUUUUACCCGGGAUGAUAAUGACAGUACCGGGAGAAUAAGCUCCGGCUAACUCCGUG
Molecule: ribosomal RNA, 433 nt
Filed under: uncultured bacterium
Lineage: Bacteria
Description: partial 16S ribosomal RNA
Rfam family: Bacterial small subunit ribosomal RNA
Source: RNAcentral